RNAcentral lists this ribosomal RNA (274 nucleotides) under uncultured bacterium. Its description in RNAcentral is "partial 16S ribosomal RNA". It matches the Rfam family "Archaeal small subunit ribosomal RNA", at positions 473 to 747 of the family's 1478-position model. The record is from RNAcentral.
AAACCAGCACCUCAAGUGGUCAGGAGGAUUAUUGGGCCUAAAGCAUCCGUAGCCUGUUCUAUAAGUUUCCGGUUAAAUCCACUAGCUCAACUAGUGGGCUGCCGAAAAUACUGUAGAACUAGGGAGUGGGAGAGGUAGACGGUAUUCGGUAGGAAGGGGUAAAAUCCUUUGAUCUAUUGAGGACCACCUGUGGCGAAGGCGGUCUACCAGAACACGUUCGACGGUGAGGGAUGAAAGCUGGGGGAGCAAACCGGAUUAGAAACCCGGGUAGUCC